This 75-nucleotide transfer RNA is filed under the name Planctomycetota bacterium. RNAcentral's name for it is "Planctomycetes bacterium (groundwater metagenome) tRNA-Pro". It matches the Rfam family "tRNA". From Rfam's summary of the family: Transfer RNA (tRNA) molecules are approximately 80 nucleotides in length. Their secondary structure includes four short double-helical elements and three loops (D, anti-codon, and T loops). The record is from RNAcentral. Lineage: Bacteria; Pseudomonadati; Planctomycetota.
CGGGAUGUAGCUCAGCCUGGCUAGAGCGCUUGGUUUGGGACCAAGAAGUCGAAGGUUCGAAUCCUUUCAUCCCGA